AUGAGACAACCCCUUGUUGCUGGAAACAGGUCUUUCACAAGCGUCGACCAGAGUCUAAAACUAAACUGUUUCAUCAUGGACUUCGAUCUGAGCGAAGCUGUUGGAGAUGAUGAGGUGAAGAAGUCGGACGGCAAACAGGUGGAAGGGAUAUUUGGGCUUGGAAAGAAGGAUAAAGACAAAGGAAAGCGCAAAGACAAGAGUCAUGAUAAGGAUAAACACAAAGAACACAAAGAUAAAGAACAUAAGCACAAAGAUAAGGAACAUAAAGGCAAAGACAAGAAGAAGAAGAAGGACAAGGAACACAAGAAGAAGAGCGGUGGCAAGUCCUCGUCUUCCUCCAGCGAUUCGGACUGAAGCAAGACUGAAGGUCCAUCAGAUACCUCCGGAACCAUAAUGUAAUAAAAUUAUUAUAUGAUUUUUAUAAAUGCAAUCAAUCUCCAGAAGUUUUCAUUAAGUUAUUGAGCUGUAAUUUCAAACUUCCACAAGGUGGCGCUACUUACAUGUCAAAUCUCCAAUGAAACACUUCUAAAGAGCACUAUCAGCUAUUUUUGUAAAACUGUUUGCUGGUUUAAUAAAUUCUGAUGUUUGAAAUAUAUAUAUAUAUAUAUAGUCUCAUAUUAACUUUCGGUGGUUGCUGGUUAGAGAACUAUUAGUGCUUUUAUAAAUCUUGGCCGGUUUGAUGCACAAAUACAAGCCAUAUUUGAAUAAAUGUAUGUGUUUAGCAAUCAUUCAUCAAGCAUUCAACACAAAUUAAUUGAUAUAUAUUGUCAGAACCAUGCAUUAUCUAGUAAAUUAGGUUAAUUCUCCAUGAUUUUCACCAUGACCAAUCAACUCUUAGUAGUAUCUUUUUCUAAACAGCACGCUUAUGCAAAUGCAUGGUUGAUUUUGAAGGUUUCAGCACAGAUCUGUCUUGUUUGAGCACGAUUUGUUUGCUAAUUCAUCUAUGUUUGAGCACGGCACAGAUAAUUAAUCUGAAUCGCAGGCUGCUUCCAAACACUGUUUUGGAUGUUUAUUGCUGAGCUGAAGACAACUGCAAGCCAGAGAUAAGAGAAGAGGGCGAUAUUUCUCUCUGUCCAUCAGACUGUGACAGUCUUUCUCUCUUAUUCUGUGCCAAAUGCACCAUGGUGCAAUUAUUUUUCAUCCACCCCCCGUCAAUCUUUCACAUGCAUAUUUCAUCAAAAGCACUGAAGAUGCUGAAAGGAGGAAUUUGGCUUGUUUCGUCCGUUUGUGAUGUUUGGUGCGGUCGGGUCAGAGAUCUGAACAUCAGCAGAAACCUCUGCACGUUUCCCACAGAAGAGGGAUGUACAUGCAAAUAAGUUUGAUUUAGUGAGGAGUGUGUGAGGAGUCAUUAUUAUAUUGCAAGUUAUGGGUGUAUUUUGAGAACAGUGUAAAAUAAAUAAGUAAUGUACUAUAACAGUAGGAAAAUAGAAGAGUAAAUAAUAAAAGGAAAGCAAUUCUUUUUUGUAAAAAUGUAGUCAUUAUGUUUACGUUAUUUAUUAUUUUAUUUUUUGAACUUUAUUUGCAGUAUUUUUUCUAUGUAUUUAUUUGUUCAUACAUUUUUUUUUACACCUAUUAGACUUUUUUUUUCAUAUUUUCUUCAUUUUUAAAUCUAUUUGCAAUGAAAUUACUUUGUUUUAUUUACAUUUUUAUAUUUUUUAUAUCACAAUUUAUUGUUAUAUUUAUUAAUUUCCUGAAAUUUACAUAUUUAUUUUAAUUAAAUUUAGUCAUUUAUUUUAUUACUUAUUUCCUUUAUUAUUUUCUAUAUUUACUUUUAAUUUAUUUCAGUUUUUAACUUUUCUGUUCUUUUAUUUGUACAUAAUUGUACCCUUAUAGUUUAUUUCCACAUGUAAUUAAAUCAAGAUUAAUUUAUACAUUUGGUUUUUUUAUAAAAAAAAAAUAGAAAUGCUAUUUUAACAUAGAUAGUAACAGUAUGUGUGUUUGGAUUGUUCUGGAUAACAGACAGGUGUUUUAUUGAGUCUAUCUCUAAACAGGUUUAUUGAUCAGUUAGUUUAUUGAAUGUGUAACUAUCUAAUUAGGAGUGUAAUGACUGUACAAUACUGAAAACUAUAAUAUAAUGCAUCUACAGGAAAAUUAAGAACAUUUUAUUAUUUUUACUUAUUCUCACAAAUAUAGUAUAACUUGUUUGUAUGGUGUACAAAAUAAAUAUGAUAUACGAUAUAAUAUAAACGCGUAAACCUCUUGAAAGGACACUUUAAAAACUGCCUCAUUACAAAAACUGGUUUAUAAAUGAGCCAAAUAAUGCCACAAUUAAAAUGUUAAAAUCUUUGUUUAAAAAUAUAAAUCCGUUUAUCUAAAAACACUAAAAGUCAUUCAAUAGAUGGAAACAAUUUUCUUCUUUUCCCGUCUGUUCACUUUCGUGUCAUUCCUGCGCGCACCUGACGCGCGGUCACACCGGGGCGCGGCGCCGCAGUGCGUGAGCGCGUGCGCGCGCGCUGUCACCUUUUCGCGCCAGAGGAGGGCACAGUUACCUCGCGCGUGGACUGGCGUCAGCGGUCUCCAGGCAACAGGCCAUCCGUAAGUCAGUCAGGUUUCUCAGUCGGAGCGGAGAGAGGCGGCAGCGGCGUCGGUCAUGGCCCUCUCACGGAUCCGGUGCUCGUUUGUAUGGUUCACCGUAAACGGCGUGUGAACACACCUCUGUAUUGUGCUGAAGAACUGAACCGGACGCGUUCACGCGGAUCCCGACGCGAACGAGUACUCUGAGGGGAUUUUACGCGCCGAUUUAAUUUCACUAGUUUUUUAGUUUUACAUGUAACAUUAAUCGUUGAAAUAUAUAUAAAAAAUGCUUUUGAUUUUAUUAAUGUGUUUGAUUUUAAGAGACAAUUACUUUUCCACCCCCAAACUACUGGAGAAAAUCUGACUGACUUUGAACUUCAUAACGC
RNAcentral lists this long non-coding RNA (2900 nucleotides) under Carassius auratus (goldfish). Its description in RNAcentral is "lncRNA (ENSCARG00000051053.1)". Lineage: Eukaryota; Metazoa; Chordata; Actinopteri; Cypriniformes; Cyprinidae. The record is from RNAcentral.